UAGGGAAUUUUCGGCAAUGGGGGAAACCCUGACCGAGCAACGCCGCGUGAAUGACGAAGUACUUCGGUAUGUAAAGUUCUUUUAUCAGGGAAGAAUGGCUAGCGGAAAAGCUAGAUG
This 117-nucleotide ribosomal RNA is filed under the name uncultured bacterium. Its description in RNAcentral is "partial 16S ribosomal RNA". It matches the Rfam family "Bacterial small subunit ribosomal RNA", at positions 355 to 470 of the family's 1533-position model. The record is from RNAcentral.